Long non-coding RNA from Spodoptera frugiperda (fall armyworm), 774 nucleotides. RefSeq lists it as uncharacterized. The record is from RefSeq and is a predicted model, not a curated record. The transcript is spliced from 2 exons. NCBI's taxonomy places the organism in Eukaryota, Metazoa, Arthropoda, Insecta, Lepidoptera, Noctuidae.
GAUAUUUAUGCGCAAGCGGCGCGCCGCGGUUUUCGUUGGCGCCUGCGCGAGACGCCAGCCGCGGCCGACGCCUUCGCGACAUCCGCCCGCGAACCGAAAUUAAUAGCCGGCACAUUCCGAACAUUCUUACAGAUUCCUGUUCUCGGUAAUGGACCGCGAUCGAACUCUUUUUGGAUGCGAUGCCGGAUCCGCGCUUUAACUCCAAACGAACGCUGAAAUUUGCAAACCCGUAAUAGUGAUUUUAUUUGAACGUUUUAAUAUCCGACCGUUUGUGAACAUUUCUGAAAUAUCGAAUACCGUUACGAUUUCGAUUAUUGUUUAUGAUCCUCAUUUACUCGAAUCGUGCAGCGAAUGUGGAUGAGUCCAUAUUAUCAGGAAUAUGACGUGUUCAUCGAAAACUGUUUCUAUAUUUGGAGAAUUUACAACAAGGCGUGAAUUUUGUCGGAUAGUUUAUCGGUAGUGGUGUAUCACCGGUUUGUGGUCAACGGAACGGAUUGUUAUGUGGGAUACAAUCGACAAUAGUUAACGGUGUAACACCUCUUCUGUGGGCAAAGAUCAAGAGAACCUAUAUCACCACAACAUAACGAAAAUGCAGAGCUCCGGCCGGAUUCAAGACUAAGCCACGUGGAUUUCUUAUGAUAAAACUUCCGACUUCAAAACUUUCAACUAAAGAAACAAGGAAUCAAGAAACUGCUGUACAAUAUUAACUAGUAUGAAUGAACAAAGAAAUAUUGUAAAAGUUUUGUGAUGUACAGAGCGUUUUUACUUAGAAAA